AAAAAAAGGGGUAUAAAUUCGUUUUUUCUUUCUUGUGGGUACUUACUUGGUUCUCAUUUGGCAUUCGUUACAAGGUGACAUUCCAAGUUUCCUUUUGUUAGUUUUUAUCUUUGGUUACUAUGUACGUCCAAGCGUUGGGAAUUUCCGCCGCUGUUCUUUCGUUUAGGAUUGGACCCGUCAUUUUUGCUUUUAAUAUUUCUAAUACUUCCAUUAGUAUAACUUGGGAUUUUUUGGUCAGUGGUCUUAGAAUUGUCGUCUCGUCCCAGUCUAUGUUCAUGUCAUUUGUAUACACUGUCUCUGCUAGUGUGGUGGUCGUUGCCCCUUUAGCUAUGUCCCU
This 337-nucleotide long non-coding RNA is filed under the name Androctonus crassicauda. The record is from RNAcentral. Lineage: Eukaryota; Metazoa; Arthropoda; Arachnida; Scorpiones; Buthidae.